RNAcentral lists this ribosomal RNA (253 nucleotides) under uncultured bacterium. RNAcentral describes it as "partial 16S ribosomal RNA". It matches the Rfam family "Bacterial small subunit ribosomal RNA", at positions 524 to 776 of the family's 1533-position model. The record is from RNAcentral.
UACGAAGGGGGCUAGCGUUGCUCGGAAUUACGGGGCGUAAAGGGCGCGUAGGCGGAUAGUUUAGUCAGAGGUGAAAGCCCAGGGCUCAACCUUGGAAUUGCCUUUGAUACUGGCUAUCUUGAGUUCGGGAGAGGUGAGUGGAAUGCCGAGUGUAGGGGUGAAAUUCGUAGAUAUUCGGCGGAACACCAGUGGCGAAGGCGACUCACUGGCCCGAUACUGACGCUGAGGCGCGAAAGCGUGGGGAGCAAACAGG